RNAcentral lists this ribosomal RNA (425 nucleotides) under Asteroschema clavigerum. RNAcentral's name for it is "partial 16S large subunit ribosomal RNA". It matches the Rfam family "Bacterial large subunit ribosomal RNA", at positions 1808 to 2516 of the family's 2925-position model. Lineage: Eukaryota; Metazoa; Echinodermata; Ophiuroidea; Euryalida; Asteroschematidae. The record is from RNAcentral.
CAAAAACAUCGCCUUUGGGAAAGAUCAAAGGUCCUGCCUGCCCGGUGAUUUUUUGAAAAAAUUAAACGGCUGCGGUACUCUGACCGUGCAAAGGUAGCAUAAUCAUUAGCCUGUUAAUUUCAGGCUGGAAUCAAUGGCAAGACGAAGAAUAAGCUGUCUCUUUACAUUAUAUUUGAAUUUUUCGUCUUGGUUAAGAGACUAAGAUGAUUGAGUGGGACGAGAAGACCCUAUUGAGCUUUAAUUUUAAAUUAGAGAUAAAGUCUAAUUAGAAAUUUUGGUUGGGGCAACGGUUUUUUUAAUUAAACAAAAGGGUAAGGAAUGAGUUAAUUCAAGGUUUGACCCAAAUUAUAUAUUUUGGUAAAUAGAAAAAGUUACCAUAGGGAUAACAGCGUAAUUCUUUUUGAGAGUACUUAUUGACAAAAGAG